Astyanax mexicanus (Mexican tetra) is the source of this 2290-nucleotide RNA transcript. It is a transcript of the gene named cugbp, Elav-like family member 3a, with no coding region annotated. NCBI's taxonomy places the organism in Eukaryota, Metazoa, Chordata, Actinopteri, Characiformes, Acestrorhamphidae. The transcript has 15 exons. The record is from RefSeq and is a predicted model, not a curated record.
CGGCUUACGACGUCAAAGCACUGGGGUACCUACACGGAGAGAGUGUCCAGACCGCUCAUAUAGCCCGAGACCAGCUGGACGAGCAUUUUCCUUUUUUUUCCUCUUCCUGUCAGUGGAGGCGCGUUAGAAAGCCGGCGGUCGACAUUAUAGCAGGAGCGCUCUGUUCAGGGGUAAACAGCGUGAAAGACACGACCGAGCGAGACGCAGCUAAAGGACACCAUCUCUCUCUCUCUUAUACACACAGAUACACACUGCCUUCACACUCGCUCAGCGUCUCCACUGAGCUCUUUUAUUAUAUCAGCAUCGCCAGCGGAAAGGACGAACCACACCGACACAGAGAGAGAGAGGGAGAGAGGCUACGAGAAAACAAGCCAGCAUCCACCCCCUCAGGAUUAACAAGGAGAGAGAGACAAACAGAGGGAGAGAGAGACCGAGAAGAGCAGCAGAGAUUCACCAUUUGUCAUCUUCAAGGAGCCGGGAUCAUCUGAGGGAAGCCCCUCUUCCGGAGACAGUCUCCCCCUCCGCCUCUGACCGGCCGCCGCGGGCGCCGCGAGUCCGUCCAAAUGAAGGAGCCCGACGCCAUCAAGCUCUUCAUCGGCCAGAUCCCCAGGAACCUGGAGGAGAAGGACCUGAAGCCCAUUUUCGAGCAGUUCGGCAAGAUCUACGAACUGACAGUCAUCAAGGACAAGUACACGGGCAUGCACAAAGGAUGCGCGUUCCUUACAUACUGUGCCAGAGAGUCUGCCUUGAAGGCCCAGAAUGCAUUGCAUGAGCAGAAAACAUUGCCAGGGAUGAACCGGCCCAUUCAGGUGAAGCCAGCAGACAGCGAGGGCCGAGGAGACAGGAAGCUGUUUGUGGGCAUGCUGGGGAAGCAGCAGUCGGAUGCUGAUGUGAGGAAGAUGUUCGAGCCGUUCGGCAGUAUAGAGGAGUGCACUGUGCUCCGAGGGCCAGACGGAGUCAGCAAAGGUUGUGCAUUUGUGAAAUAUCAGAGCAACGCAGAGGCUCAGGCAGCCAUCAGCGCACUACACGGAAGCCGUACUUUACCGGGGGCCUCUUCCAGCCUGGUGGUGAAGUUUGCAGACACAGAGAAGGAGAGAGGCAUCAGGCGCAUGCAGCAAGUCGCGUCUCAGCUGGGCGUCAUCAGCCCAAUGAGCCUUCAUUUGGGGGCCUACAAUGCUUACACACAAGCACUUGUCCAGCAGCAGGCUUUGGUGGCUCAGUCCGCAUACCUGUCUCCCGUAGCAACUGUUGCGGCAGUACAGAUGCAGCAGCUGGCUGCACUCAAUCCCAACAGCAUCAUAGCCACACCCAUUGCAUCAAUCACUCCUUCCUCAGGUACGAGCACCCCUCCAGCCAUUGCUGCCACACCAGUGCCUGCUCUGCCUCCACAAAUUGCAGUCAACAGUUACCCACCCGUGCCUGCCCCACCUAGUGGGCAAUCAGCCUCUGAAGCACUGUACACCAAUGGAGUCCACCCAUAUCAAGCUCAGAGUCCUGCCUUGGACCCUCUCCAGCAGGCAUACACUGGCAUGCAGCAUUACACCGCAACAUAUCCUGCUGCUUACGGAUUGGUGGGUCAGCCAUUCCCACAUCAGCCCACCCUGGUUGCUCAGCAACCCCAGCAGCCACAGCAGCUGCAGCAGCGAGAAGGUCCAGAAGGCUGUAAUAUCUUCAUCUAUCACCUGCCUCAGGAGUUCACAGACUCUGAGAUGCUGCAGAUGUUUCUCCCUUUCGGCAAUGUCAUCUCAGCCAAGGUUUUUGUUGACCGUGCCACAAAUCAGAGCAAAUGCUUUGGUUUUGUGAGCUUUGACAACCCAGCCAGCGCUCAGACUGCCAUCCAGGCCAUGAAUGGCUUUCAAAUUGGCAUGAAAAGACUAAAAGUGCAGCUGAAGAGGCCGAAAGAUGCCAACCGUCCAUACUGAGAUGACCAGCUCAUCCACACCCAAGGCUGCCCCGUCCAAUCAUAACUGGUGUGGAGACCGCGUCGCUAUGGCUACGGUGGCCUAGCAACCAAUAAAGCUCUCCCCUUCCUCUCACAGCGUUUGUUGUCAAACAAACGACAAAAAAGAGGACUGAAGAAGUUGGUUUGGAGAGAGUUUAACGGAAAAAAAAAAACGCAAACAAAAAACUUUUUUUUUCUCAGCUACAAAUUAUGGGACCAACUGCUCGUUUGAAAGACCAGAUAGAAAAGAAAAAAAGAAAUCACAACAAAUAUAUACGUUUAACAGAUGAACCUAACCUGCAGCACAUGGCUCAGGUGUAAAAAAAAAAAAAAUAAAAAAAAGAAGAA